Tricholoma furcatifolium is the source of this 83-nucleotide non-coding RNA. The record is from the annotation of a GenBank genome assembly. NCBI's taxonomy places the organism in Eukaryota, Fungi, Basidiomycota, Agaricomycetes, Agaricales, Tricholomataceae.
GUCCGUAUCGAUUAGUGGUCAAAUCAUCUCGUUGUGGUUCAUUCGCAUCCGAGAAGCCGCAGGCUCGAAUCCUGCUACGGACA